Molecule: ribosomal RNA, 406 nt
Filed under: uncultured bacterium
Lineage: Bacteria
Description: partial 16S ribosomal RNA
Rfam family: Bacterial small subunit ribosomal RNA
Source: RNAcentral
AUUGAACGCUGGCGGCAGGCCUAACACAUGCAAGUCGAACGAGUGGCGGACGGGUGAGUAAUGUCUGGGAAACUGCCUGAUGGCGGGGGAUAGCUAAUGGAAACGGUAGCUAAUACCGCAUACCAUCGGAUGUUCCCAGAUGGGAUUAGCUAGUAGGUGGGGUAAAGGCUCACCUAGGCGACGAUCCCUAGCUGGUCUGAGAGGAUGUCCAGCCAACCGGGAACUGAGACACGGUCCAGACUCCUACGGGAGGCAGCAGUGGGGAAUAUUGCACAAUGGGCGCAAGCCUGAUGCAGCAAGGCCGCGUGUAGGAAGAAGGCCUUCGGGUGGUAAAGUACUUUCAGCGGGGAGGCGUUACCCGCAGAAGAAGCACCGGCUAACUCCGUGCCAGCAGCCGCGGUAAUUC